AUCUUUUCCGAAGUAUAUAUUUUGUUGUAAAAUUACUAACCUGGCGACAUUUUAGUACAUUUUAUCGAUUUGGUAGCAUUGGUUCUAGUAGCAUACGAUAAUUGGAUGUUUUAUAAAGUCUGCGACGAUUACUGAUCCGUCAUUAUAUUAUUGCUCUACUUAUUCCGAGUAACUUAUAAAUAACAUAAAUCCGGUAUCAUGGCGGAAUCGCACCGAUUUCAUAUAAUCUUCGCUCUUUCCGCUUAUGCGAUAUUUUUCUAUAGAUCUCUAAUAGAGCCAGACAAAUAUAUUUCUUGGUUCCACUACCCAAUACUUCAGAAGAAAGUAAACGACAGAGGACAGAUGUAUAUUGACAAGGCAUUGGCAGCGCAAGCAAAUGAAGGACAGUAGCGUUUUGUGUACCAUCGAUAGAAAUGCCUUUCUUCGAAGGAUUAAUGUCGUAUUUAGUUAAGAUGUAAAUGAGUUAAAUAGUACAUAUAUAUACAUAUAUAUAUAAGAAGUAACCGUUGUACAUUUCGGGGUGAAAUUAAAAUAUACCGAUAUGCAUCUUAUAAAAGUGUUAUUAGAAGUUAUAACAAAAGUACGAAGUACGUAUGAAUUA
Megalopta genalis is the source of this 601-nucleotide long non-coding RNA. RefSeq lists it as uncharacterized. The record is from RefSeq and is a predicted model, not a curated record. Lineage: Eukaryota; Metazoa; Arthropoda; Insecta; Hymenoptera; Halictidae.